Parus major (Great Tit) is the source of this 298-nucleotide long non-coding RNA. RefSeq lists it as uncharacterized. Lineage: Eukaryota; Metazoa; Chordata; Aves; Passeriformes; Paridae. The record is from RefSeq and is a predicted model, not a curated record. The transcript is spliced from 3 exons.
GAGCGCGAGUCUUUUCCCGCCGUUUUCCGCUCAGCGCGGGAGCCGCCAUGGAGCUUCUCCGGCCUUGGCUCGUCCCGUUCCUGCUGCCCGAGCAUUGCUUCGACCAAUUCUUCCUGCGCUUUCAACUCCUCGAUGUUCCGUGCUUUAAAAUCCUCCUGAGCAAAGUUUUGGGCUACGGCAUCGUGGCGGGAUCCGUCCUGGUAAAGGUCCCGCAGCUGCUGAAGGUUUGGGGGUCCCUGGGGGGGUUUUAGGGGCAAUUUUGGGGUAAUUUUGAAGGAUUUUGGGGUAUUUUGGGGGG